This 1605-nucleotide long non-coding RNA is filed under the name Mus pahari (shrew mouse). Its description in RNAcentral is "predicted gene, 26568 (MGP_PahariEiJ_G0003655.1)". The record is from RNAcentral. Lineage: Eukaryota; Metazoa; Chordata; Mammalia; Rodentia; Muridae.
CUCGGCCACCAUCACAUAGCGCCCCGUUGGGAAGUACCCAGCGGGUAGCAGAAGUUUAGGGUAAUGAGUGGCCAGCUCUCUGACACAGGCUGGGCCCCAGGCCCCACGGUGGCGAGGUGGCUCAGGGGGACAGAGGGGCCUCAGAAAGGAGAUGUCUGGACUGCUGCUGCCAGGCGAAUACAGCCGAACAGAGGAGCCGAGAAACAGGAACAACUAGUUCAGAACAACCUCCUUUUGAGCUCCCAAGUCAGACACUAGAACCCAGAACCUCAGGCCUGUCUGGAGGGCGGGGUCCAUGCAGAAGCCACACAAGUCACUGGCUGUACCAGCUGGUUCCUCCGCCCUCUAUCUCCUCUCGGACUAAAGGGCCUGAGAAUAUCAGUCUUCUUUCCUCCUACACAGGGUUAAGCCAGAGCCCUAGGCAUGUCCUGGCCUGCUUCCCCACUUCCAACAAGGAGUGUCAUCAGUCACAAUGGCAGUAGUAGUGACAUUCCCCCCCAAAGCCCCACCCUGCACAAAAGCUCCUGGCAAUGCCAGCACCUAUGAGCAAAGGAGCUGAACAGUACACGUGGAGAGGGACCAUGGGGAUGGAGACAGGCCACAUCUCUAUACUAAUGGCUCCUUCAAGCACAGAGGUGGCCCUUGGGGACCAUUAUACCUCCAUCAGCAUCUGCCUUACCAUACCCGGGGCCUGUGGGAAAUGAAGAGCCGAGAAUGACUUUUUCCUUAGAGUCUUGGGGAGUGACAGUGAUGUCCUAUAUUAAGGCCAGAGCCAAUGAAAGCAGAAUAGGGUCUGGCCACUAGGCCUGGUUUUCCCAGUCAGUCGAGACAUAGAAGAACACGUUGUUCCUCGCUAUCUAUGCCAGGAGUCCGAGGGUGGCCCAGCUGGUGUCUGUUCAGACGCUUCGUCCUGGAGGUUACAGGUACUGAAAGCAAUGCCUGCCAGAGGCACGCAGCAUGGGGGUGGGGAGGUGGGGGGUGGACCUUGAAGCUCCUACUGUGUGUUCCGCCAGGGAAGAUAAGAAUUGCAGGGCAAGAACCAGCUGAUCUUCGAGUAUGGACGGGGACAUGGGGGAGCCUGUUGCUCCCCAAGCCGAGCCCGAGGCUCUGGGUAAAGAGCAGCUGGUCCCUCGAACCACUUCCUUCAGACACAGCCAGGAAAGCCACUCCAGGGCUGAGCUGGGACUGGAGGAAUGGAGGCUACAAGUCCCAACCUGACAGGAUUUGGGUCAGGACAAAGAAAAUGGUCCCACCUCGGGGCUCAGAAGCUCACCAGACCAGACACACUGAAGUCAUUUGGCUGGCUCUGGUUCUGAGGUGCCCCGCAGACUCAUCUCUGGGUCAGGUCUCAGUCACUAGGCUACAAGAAUGGUUCAGCACUCUUGACCAGUUGCAGACACUGACAGGACUGUAGAGGUACGAAUGGAUUUCAGUCUAAACACCCAUGCAUAUGCGGUCCUGAAUCCAUCAGUCAUUGACUAUCCAUAGCAACAGCCAUUCCCUAAAGAUGCUGAACGAGCAUCGCUGCAGAGCCUUGCGCUUACUGCACUUUUCCCCCUGAAGAUAGUAUUUGAGUUUGAAUAAACACUUGGAUUACUAUCAAGC